GACGAACGCUGGCGGCGUGCCUAAUACAUGCAAGUAGAACGCUGAAGAGAGGAGCUUGCUCUUCUUGGAUGAGUUGCGAACGGGUGAGUAACGCGUAGGUAACCUGUCUUGUAGCGGGGGAUAACUAUUGGAAACGAUAGCUAAUACCGCAUAACAAUGGCUGACACAUGUCAUUUAUUUUAAAGGGGCAAUUGCUCCACUACAAGAUGGACCUGCGUUGUAUUAGCUAGUAGGUGAGGUAAUGGCUCACCUAGGCGAAGAUACAUAGCGGACCGGAGAGGGAGAGCGGCCACACUCAGACUGAGACACGGCCCAGACUCCGACGGGAGGCAGCAGUAGGGGAGCGGCGGCAAGAGGGGCGACCCUGACCGAGCAACACCGCGUGAGUGAAGAAGGUUAUCGGAUCGUAAAGCUCAGUUGUAAGUCAAGAACGGGUGUGAGAGUGGAAAGGUCACACUGUGACGGUAGCUUACCAGAAAGGGACGGCUAACUACGUG
This 497-nucleotide ribosomal RNA is filed under the name uncultured bacterium. RNAcentral's name for it is "partial 16S ribosomal RNA". It matches the Rfam family "Bacterial small subunit ribosomal RNA", at positions 28 to 507 of the family's 1533-position model. The record is from RNAcentral.